Molecule: long non-coding RNA, 332 nt
Organism: Triticum dicoccoides
Lineage: Eukaryota; Viridiplantae; Streptophyta; Magnoliopsida; Poales; Poaceae
Exons: 3
Source: RefSeq, a predicted model, not a curated record
UGCUCACAUUAGUCCCGGUUCUGGAUUGAACCGGGACUAAUGGGCUAAACAGGCCUGGACGAAAGCCCUGUUUUCUACUAGUGGACUCACUUGGUGAGAAUGUCAAACGCAAUGACCUUGCUACUACGGGCUAGAGAAAUGGCUGAAACUUGCAGAGCAUAGUCCGGAGUUUAUCAAAGGUAAUAAGUGGCCUGAUCUCAAUGUUACAAAAUGGACGGUUGUAGAGCAAAUUCAGGAGGCAAUACAAACCGAUGGCAUAUCGUGUGGAUUGUUUAUGCUAAAUUAUAUGGAAUACUGGACACCACAUGGAUUGUCAGACCAGUUUACGCAAG